This is a long non-coding RNA of Saccostrea cuccullata (small rock oyster), 895 nucleotides long. RefSeq lists it as uncharacterized. The record is from RefSeq and is a predicted model, not a curated record. NCBI's taxonomy places the organism in Eukaryota, Metazoa, Mollusca, Bivalvia, Ostreida, Ostreidae. The transcript is spliced from 3 exons.
ACAGUUCAGUCACAUAAUUGCCUCUUUAAGUGUCCUGAUAUUAUAUCCUUCACUUUAUGAAGUGAACACUUGACACAUUUCUGAAAAUAUAUAUAAAGACAAUUCAAUUGCUGUAAACAUACGUUCAAGAAUAUUGAAGACAAUACGUUCUUCAGGAUGAAAGCAAUCAUUUUAACACUUUCAGUGGGACUAUUUUUGAACGGCUGUGCAGGAUGCCCGGCUUUCUUACAGAGUAAUCAGUGCUUCUGCGCCUGCUAUGACCUGUUAACAGAUUGCCAGGAGAGAUGUGAUAGAAUGUCCGGCUACGCGCGUUCUAGGUGCCGGAGUUCGUGUUCAUACGGCUACCAAAUCUGCAGUAGGAGCUGCCUGACUCCUUCAUACUGAGUGUUCAUAAACAGAAAAUCUGUUCAAAGAACUUAAUGGUUAUAAAUAUCAAUAGCAAAUUAUAUGAAUCUUUGACAUAAGAUUUAAAGACUUUGAAUAAAGUCUUUACAAUUCAAAUGGGUUUAUUUUCUGCCUUUUUAGUAUUUCUCUUUGUCAAAAUUAACUGAAAAGAUCAGAAAGGUUUUUCAACAACAAUCCAGAGCUUGAUAUGUCAGUUUAAACAGGGCUAUUUCCACUCAAAAGUGCAGACCUUACAAAAAACUUUCAGAUUUCUACAAUUGAUGAAUAUGGUUGAGCUCUUUUUCGCAAUUCAGAGAAACGUACUUAAUAUUUCAUAGCUAGUUUUGAUGAUCAAAUUAAAUAAAAGGGAGGAUUUUCUAGGAUCUGAACCCCUGACACAAAGUCCAUGAAUUUCGCAUUUUUUUUUUUUUUUUUUUUUUUUUUGCAUUUGUAGCAGAAGAGUGUAAGAAGGACAUACCUUAUACUUUUCACACAGAUUUUUGUACCUAUG